Molecule: small RNA, 105 nt
Filed under: Marmota monax (woodchuck)
Lineage: Eukaryota; Metazoa; Chordata; Mammalia; Rodentia; Sciuridae
Source: RNAcentral
GCUGGGUUUGGUGGGGCACACCUGUAAUCCCAGCUACUCAGGAGGCUGAGGCAGGAGCAUUGUAAGUUCAAAGUCAACCUCAGCAACCUAGUGAGACCCUGUCAA